GCAUGGUGCUAGCACCUAUAGGUCCAGCUCCCAGAGAGGCUGAGGCAGGAGGUUUGAGCCCAGGAGUCUGGGCUGUAGAGCACAAUACUGAUCAGGUCUCCUCACUAAAUUUGACAUCAAUAUGGUGACCUUACGGUAGCAGGGGACCACUAGGUGGCCUAAGAAGGGUUGAACUGGCCCAAGUUGGAAACAGAGCAGGUCAAACUCCCAUGCUGAUCAGUAGUGGAACCGCACCUGUGAAUAUCCACUACACUCCAGCCUGGGCAACACAUCAAAACCCUAUCUCU
Cebus imitator (Panamanian white-faced capuchin) is the source of this 287-nucleotide unclassified non-coding RNA. It matches the Rfam family "Metazoan signal recognition particle RNA". Rfam says of the family: The signal recognition particle (SRP) is a universally conserved ribonucleoprotein. It is involved in the co-translational targeting of proteins to membranes. The eukaryotic SRP consists of a 300-nucleotide 7S RNA and six proteins: SRPs 72, 68, 54, 19, 14, and 9. Lineage: Eukaryota; Metazoa; Chordata; Mammalia; Primates; Cebidae. The record is from Ensembl.